AUUGAACGCUGGCGGCAGGCCUAACACAUGCAAGUCGAACGGUAGCACAGAGAGCUUGCUCUCGGGUGACGAGUGGCGGACGGGUGAGUAAUGUCUGGGAAACUGCCCGAUGGAGGGGGAUAACUACUGGAAACGGUAGCUAAUACCGCAUAACGUCGCAAGACCAAAGUGGGGGACCUUCGGGCCUCACACCAUCGGAUGUGCCCAGAUGGGAUUAGCUAGUAGGUGGGGUAAUGGCUCACCUAGGCGACGAUCCCUAGCUGGUCUGAGAGGAUGACCAGCCACACUGGAACAGAGACACGGUCCAGACUCCUACGGGAGGCAGCAGUGGGGAAUAUUGCACAAUGGGCGCAAGCCUGAUGCAGCCAUGCCGCGUGUAUGAAGAAGGCCUUCGGGUUGUGAAGUACUUUCAGCGGGGAGGAAGGCGGUGAAGUUAAUAACUUCACCGAUUGACGUUACCCGCAGAAGAAGCACCGGCUAACUCCGUGCCAGCAGCCGCGGUAA
Molecule: ribosomal RNA, 504 nt
Filed under: uncultured bacterium
Lineage: Bacteria
Description: partial 16S ribosomal RNA
Rfam family: Bacterial small subunit ribosomal RNA
Source: RNAcentral